UACGAAGGGGGCUAGCGUUGAUCGGAAUCACUGGGCGUAAAGCGCACGUAGGCGGAUUGCUAAGUCAGGGGUGAAAUCCUGGAGCUCAACUCCAGAACUGCCUUUGAUACUGGCGACCUUGAGUCCGGGAGAGGUGAGUGGAACUGCGAGUGUAGAGGUGAAAUUCGUAGAUAUUCGCAAGAACACCAGUGGCGAAGGCGGCUCACUGGCCCGGUACUGACGCUGAGGUGCGAAAGCGUGGGGAGCAAACAGG
Molecule: ribosomal RNA, 253 nt
Filed under: uncultured bacterium
Lineage: Bacteria
Description: partial 16S ribosomal RNA
Rfam family: Bacterial small subunit ribosomal RNA
Source: RNAcentral